Molecule: long non-coding RNA, 1823 nt
Organism: Eucalyptus grandis
Lineage: Eukaryota; Viridiplantae; Streptophyta; Magnoliopsida; Myrtales; Myrtaceae
Exons: 2
Source: RefSeq, a predicted model, not a curated record
GUGAUCCGUUGGAUGUCCUUCGCGCGGGUGCUGUCAUGGCUAAAUAAUAAGCGUUGGAUUCAGGCGUGUUUAGACCGUCGGAUGGCCCCUUCUGAUUGUGGCCGUCCAUUUGCUUAAGGUUGCCUCCUUCACUUCUCACGGCCGUCGCUCGUCUAACACUCCAAACGCCUGCAAGUCCUCCAUGCUCGCUGGGUAGCAAGGUGGAACCCCAUGUGCGGUGACCCCAGCACCUGCAAAUCUUCCAUGGACUCCGAGCAACGAGCUAGAUCCUGCUGUGAGGGUUGCAAGAGCAACAACAUCACUCGCCUUCGCGUGCUUAGCCGUCACCAGCCUCUGGCUUUCCCUUCUUGAUUUCUACACACUCGACAUGAAAUAUGAGGUUUUGAAUUUUUUAUGAACGUUUUAGGUGUUUUUCAUUUGUGCCCAUUUGAUUUCAAGCUGAAUCUUGGAUGGAAAACAUGGUCGUCAAGUAGAGCAACGAAGUUCUAGCUUAAAAGUAAUCUUUUUUUUUCACCUGCAAUUGUCAUGUUUAUGCGUGGAGAACAGGACCCCCUUGAGCGUUGUUGGCCAAUUUUAUGUUCUUUAAAGAUGGGUUGCUCUUCAUAACUCGGGAUAAUCCAUGAUCUUUUGCGUUGUGAUAUACUCUCGAUCACCUUGUUCUACCGGUUCCUGAAUGCUCCUCUUGAAAGCAUCGAGGUUGAUGGAGCAUUAUUAAAAGAAUGUUCUUGCUUAGUGAUUGUGUUGAAAAUUUGGUCUUUUAGGUCAUGAGAAUUUGAGGUUUGAAAUGUGUAUAUGGCGUGAAGUUUAAAUAUAGCUAGGUACAAAGUGUUUAGUUGAAAACACUAACAACUUAAUUGAUUCAUAACUUAAGAAAAACAAUAAAUAAGUAGAGGGACAAGGCAUAAAAUGUGCAUGGCGAUGACAUGUAUUCUUCUCAUCUAUUUACUUUCAUUGACACUGAUAUUUUGUCUAUUGUCUUGGUAGAGGUAUUUACUAUUUAGUUGUUUUAGUGUCCAUCUAUCUAUAGAUAACUAUUUGUAUUUUCAAGUUCUCAUAUUCUUGAAACAUUAUUGCCUAAAGUUCUUCUACCAAACAAAGAGAAAUUUAUUGCUAAAAAUCUGCUUUUUGACGUAAAAGAAAACUUGUAAAACAGGGCUAUUUGGAGACUGGAAAGACCAUCACGAGCCUGUUUUUGAGCAUGUCUCGAUGUAUCAAUGGUAUGGGAUUUCUUGUGAUGAAAUAUCCCGCCUAUCAAGUGUAGAAUUGAGAGGUGUGAUCAAAGAUCAAAAUGACUAUACCUCAAAGCCAAAAAAAUUGGACGUCCAUUGAUGAAGUUUGUCAGAUUAAGAGGAUGGCCUAUUCUGCAACAACUGCAUAUUGAAGAGCAGUUACUUCAGACCUUAUCGAAAAACUGGUGUAUUAUAAAUGAUGGUAUAAGGGAACCUACCAUUGUUAUGGAUAUUUCUGGGUACCUGUCAUCAAAAGGUUCACUGGGGGAGGCACUGUCAUUGUGGACGGCGGGACAAUCUUGGUUACUUUCAUCUGCAACAAGGAUGCUGUCCCUGAAUUGCAGCCAUAUCCUCGACCCAUCAUGUCUUGGAGCAGCCUAAUCUACAAUAGUGUUCCAUGGAACUGGCGAUUUCCACCUCCGUGAGAAUGGUAUUCACUCUCAAAACUUCCAAUAUGCCCAAUUUCUCCUGUAUUGCUAGUCAAAUGGAAUUGUGUCAUGUUCGCCUUUUCAAUUUAUGGACAAUUUGGAUUUUUUACAUAGUACUAUAUAUAUAUAUAUUAUCAUGGACCAUUCAAAAUAGGCUGUGUUCCAA